GGGCGCAGGUCUCGAAGCAGCCGGUGCCUCUGCAGCAAAAGCCUGAUGACCUGCAGCAGCCCCAAGGCCAAGCAGAACGCCAACGCCAGGAACUGCAUCUGGAAGCAAUUUGCCAUGAAUGAGAUGAAGGUGGCCGUGGCUCUGACCCUGUUCCACUUAGAGCUGCUGCCGGAUCCCUCCAGGGUCCCCAUUCCCACUCCCAGAAUUGUGUUGAAGUCCAAGAACGGGAUCCACCUGCAUCUUCGGAAGCUCCCCUAAUCCUCGUGGGGAUGAGAUCCAGCUCCGAGGGCCUCCCGCCUCCCAUCCUGUCUUCCUGUCACAGUCUGCUGUCCUUUGCUUCACCGCCCACGCCCUGUUCUAUUUGCCCACCUGCCAGCCUCCCUCGUCUCCUGCUCCCACCCGUCACGCUGUCUGUCCUCCUCUCCCUCUCACCUUCUCCAGGCUCGCCAUCUGUUCAUCUGUCCACCUGUCUCUGUGCACCUAAAUCCUGACCGCCUGCCCGUCCUCUCGUCUGUCUGGACUCUCCCUGUCUUCCUUCCUUUCUGCCUGUCUGUCUGUGCCUGUAUUCGGCUCCUGCUGCUGCUGUGAUGAUCGACCACAGCCUUAGUGACUUAGAACAACACGAAGUUACUCCCUAAGGGUUCUGGGGUCGCAAGUCUGAAGGGGGUUUUUCUGGACCACAUCCAAGGUGUCAGCAGGGCCUCCUGCCUCCAGGGCUCUAGGAGAGGAUCCGUCUCUUCACCUUUUCCCUCAACUAGAGCUGCAGUCCCUGCCUUCCGUGCCUCCUGGGCCUCCUCCACACUCACAUCCAGCAGCAUCUUCAAAUGCCUCUCUGCUUCUGUCUUCACAUCACCUUCUCCUUCACAAGGACCUUUGUGAUGGCAUGGGUUCACUCAGAUAAAACCGGCUGCUUCUCGGGUUCCAGGGAUGAAAGCGUGGACCCCCUGGGCAGCCAUCACUCAGCCGACUACAUCCUGUGUGAACCCAUCCCUCUGGGUCUCCAAUGUCUCCCACGUGCUAUGGGUCCACCCAUCUGUCCCUCACAUGCCUCCCUUCUUCCCCACUCCCUGGAUAAAGUUCACAAUGUCA
This is a long non-coding RNA of Camelus dromedarius (Arabian camel), 1089 nucleotides long. RefSeq lists it as uncharacterized. Lineage: Eukaryota; Metazoa; Chordata; Mammalia; Artiodactyla; Camelidae. The transcript has 2 exons. The record is from RefSeq and is a predicted model, not a curated record.